This 468-nucleotide ribosomal RNA is filed under the name uncultured bacterium. RNAcentral's name for it is "partial 16S ribosomal RNA". It matches the Rfam family "Bacterial small subunit ribosomal RNA", at positions 28 to 507 of the family's 1533-position model. The record is from RNAcentral.
GACGAACGCUGGCGGCGUGCUUAACACAUGCAAGUCGAACGGAAAGGCCCUGCUUUUGUGGGGUGCUCGAGUGGCGAACGGGUGAGUAACACGCGAGUAUCCUGCCCUUGACUUUGGGAUAACUUCAGGAAACUGGGGCUAAUACCUGCUCGGUGCUCCUGCUGCAUGGUGGGGGUUGGAAAGUUGCGGCGGUUGGGGAUGGACUCGCGGCUUAUCAGCUUGUUGGUGGGGUAGUGGCUUACCAAGGCUUUGACGGGUAGCCGGCCUGAGAGGGUGACCGGCAAAAUGGGGACUGAGAUACGGCCCAGACUCGUACGGGAGACAGCAGUGGGGAAUAUUGCACGAUGGGCGGAAGUCGGAUGCAGCAACGCCGCGUGCGGGAUGACGGACUUCGUGUUGGAAACAGCUUUCGCCUGUGACGAAGCGUGAGUGACGGUAAUGGGUAAAGAAGCACCGGCUAACUACGUG